UGGGGAAUAUUGCACAAUGGGCGCAAGCCUGAUGCAGCCAUGCCGCGUGUGUGAAGAAGGCCUUCGGGUUGUAAAGCACUUUCAGCGAGGAGGAAGGUGGUGAGCUUAAUACGCUCAUCAAUUGACGUUACUCGCAGAAGAAGCACCGGCUAACUCCGUGCCAGCAGCCGCGGUAAUACGGAGGGUGCAAGCGUUAAUCGGAAUUACUGGGCGUAAAGCGCACGCAGGCGGUUUGUUAAGUCAGAUGUGAAAUCCCCGGGCUCAACCUGGGAACUGCAUUUGAAACUGGCAAGCUAGAGUCUCGUAGAGGGGGGUAGAAUUCCAGGUGUAGCGGUGAAAUGCGUAGAGAUCUGGAGGAAUACCGGUGGCGAAGGCGGCCCCCCUGGACGAAGACUGACGCUCAGGUGCGAAAGCGUGGGGCAGCAAACAGGAUUAGAUACCCUGGUAGUCCAGCGCUGUAAACGAUGUCGAUUUGGAGGUUGUGCCCUUGAGGCGUGGCUUCCGGAGCUAACGCGUUAAAUCGACCGCCUGGGGGAGUACGGCCGCAAGGUUAAAAA
Molecule: ribosomal RNA, 557 nt
Filed under: uncultured bacterium
Lineage: Bacteria
Description: partial 16S ribosomal RNA
Rfam family: Bacterial small subunit ribosomal RNA
Source: RNAcentral